AACCAGUGAUGAAAUUGAAUUCCGCCAUAUGAAUCCUUGUGAAAUUAACACAAUUCCGUUCCAUUUACUGAGGUU
This is a small nucleolar RNA of Anolis carolinensis (green anole), 75 nucleotides long. Lineage: Eukaryota; Metazoa; Chordata; Lepidosauria; Squamata; Anolidae. The record is from Ensembl.